ACAACGACCGCCGUGCAGGAAGGAAGGUUUCGGUGUCGUAAACUGCUUUUCUCGGGGAAGAGAUUGGACGGUACCCGAGGAAUCAGCCCCGGCUAACUACGUGC
This 104-nucleotide ribosomal RNA is filed under the name uncultured bacterium. RNAcentral describes it as "partial 16S ribosomal RNA". The record is from RNAcentral.